AUGUCUCUUUGAAGAGAGAACAUAAGGAGUCUGGCCUGCCCGGUGACGUGGUUUAACGGCUGCAGUAUCCUGACUGUGCAAAGGUAGCAUAAUAACUUGCCUUUUAAUUGGAGGAUGGAAUCAAUGGCUUGACGAGAGCAAAACUGUCUUUUCAAUUUUUAUUAGAAUUUAUCUUUCAAGUUAAAAGGCUUGGAUGUAACUAAAAGACGAUAAGACCCUAUUGAGCUUUAAAGAAAUAAAAUAAUUAUUCAUUAUUUACUAAAUUGAUAAUAAUUUUAAAAAAUUUUGGUUGGGGCGACUGUGGAGUACAAAAAACCUCCAAAUGUAUAAAACAAACUACUAUUCAUGAUCCAUAUUUUGUGAUAAAUGGAAUUAGUUACCAUAGGGAUAACAGCGCACUACUUUUAGGGAGACCUUAUUUCUAAGAGAGAUCGCGACCUCGAUGUUGGAUUAAGGCAUACUGAAAGGCGCAGAAGCUUUUUAAGUUAGUCUGUUCGACUAUUAAAUCCUU
Molecule: ribosomal RNA, 511 nt
Filed under: Cyclophorus diplochilus
Lineage: Eukaryota; Metazoa; Mollusca; Gastropoda; Architaenioglossa; Cyclophoridae
Description: partial 16S ribosomal RNA
Rfam family: Bacterial large subunit ribosomal RNA
Source: RNAcentral